Molecule: long non-coding RNA, 2297 nt
Filed under: Felis catus (domestic cat)
Lineage: Eukaryota; Metazoa; Chordata; Mammalia; Carnivora; Felidae
Description: lncRNA (ENSFCAG00000043576.2)
Source: RNAcentral
AUGCCUGUUUCGUGAGAUUGCGGUGCAGGUCACAAAAUGCUGACUCGGGAAAUCACAGACGACGGUUGGCCGACUUUCCCACCCGCAGACCGAGGGUCCCACCCCGCGCGUGGCCCUCUGGCAUUCCGCCGUUCUAUGAAACAGGUCGAGAUCGUUUCUUCUGACUUUGCGCCUGGGAAAACUCGUGGACCAGAAGGUUUAGUUGCUUUUCCAGAAUGUGUCAAUAGGGAGAGCAGCUUGGGCCUGGAACUGGCUAGAUCCUGGCUAAGUAGACCCUGGGGUCUCUACCGCUCGUACCUUUGAGAAGAGAGUCGCCUCUUGCUUUCUGUCAAGUAUUUGCCCCAGACUGCUGUACCUGCUAUGAGAUUGCAGGUUAAUGAAGGCCAGACGGGAAGCCUCUGUCUUCUUUUCUUUCAAGAGACCCUGGACCUGUAUCCCAGCUUUGUUCGGAGUCAAGGAGGAAAUUCCUUCAUCGCUAACUUCACUGUCUGAGCCUGAACCAGAAGGAAUAACAACAUGUGCGAUUUUAACUGUUUUCAGCAUCUGUUAUGACACAAUCCGUGAAGCCUUUUGUUAAUUUUCCUGACGAUUACCUCCCGCUCAUAUACUUUCCCCACAGCUGUCUGGCCCUUUUCCUGGGCCAGCCCGACACUCUAAAGUAACAGGAUUUCUGAAAUCCCAACUGCGCUCCGUCGCCAAAGACGACUUUUGCUCACUGGGGCCCGGCGAGUUGUUUUAAAACACCAGCCCGUGCCAGGUAACAAGGCAAAGAGCUACGACUCUCUCACAACCGAGGGUAAUUCAUCAACUUGGAGGGGGCCAGAUAGAAACGGCGAGAUCCUCAACUUCCUCAAAACCCCUUUCUAGCCCUCCAAACGAAAAGUCUCAAGUGCAGAAACAUAUUUGUCACAACGUGGAAAUCUCGCGAGCCAUCACCACGGCUCCCCGUGUGGAUACUAACUUUCUGUCCCAAAUUGUAAAAUGUAUCGGCAUGUGCAGUAAGGCGAUACCACGGUUUCUUAGAACCCGCGUCCCGCUUUAGGGAGAAGUAAGAGUAAGGCAGGGAAUUUUGAGUAUGAGUCUCCUUCUUAUGGGUGGAAAACUGUCUGCCACAGAUUUGGGUAGAGGGAAAAGGUCCCUGACGUUUGGACGGACCGAGUUCCUCAUGUGCAGCCCGGAAGAGGUUUUCCCCGGACAGCGGUGGGGAUGUAGUUAGUGUUCCCAAGAACUCCUUGGUGGAGAUUUUUACGUCUGGGACACGCCUCUCCCAGGGGACUGUGUGCUGAUCUGGAGGAGGACACGUCAGCCACCGAUCCGGAACCUCCUUAUGCCCUUUCUAGACGUACUUCUGUGGUAUUUUGGAGAACAGUAACUAUGUAGGCUCCGCCGUGCACCCCUGGUGUAGCUGUGCAUCAGCAGCCCACGGUAGGCUCUGGGGUCAACAUGAUGUUGGCCUAUUUGGGAUACGACGGCACGUGAAGCUUUAUGUUUCGAUCCACCUCUCCACGAGAAAGCCUUCUAAAGAGAGCAACAGUUAUGGCACGUUGUCACAGAGAGGGUCUCAGUAAUUUUUAUGUUUCUUUUUUUUAAAAUUUUUUGUAAUAUUUUAUUUAUUUUUGAGACAGGGAGAGACAGAGCAUGAACGGAGCAUGAACAGGGAGAGACAGAGAGAGGGAGACACAGAAUCUGAAACAGGCUCCAGGCUCUGAGCUGUCAGCACAGAGCCCGACGUGGGGCUCGAACUCACGAACCGUGAGAUCAUGACCUGAGCCGAAGUCGGAUGCUUAACCGACUGAGCCACCCAGGCGCCCCUAAUUUUUAUGUUUCCGAUUUGACUUUGCCUUCACCUCCCACCAAGCCCAGGAUCCGAGAUGCCGUGAAAUUUCUCACACGGUAAAGCUGGAUCAUGGAAUGGCACGUCAAACCUAAGUCCUUUUCCAUUGUUUUUCCACCACCGAGAAUUAUUUAAAAAGAUCUCUGUGGCCAGGACAGUAGGGAUCCUGCAUUAUCUAUCGCAAGGUCAGGAAGAAAAAUUAUUAAGAAGUUCAAGCCCAGGGGCGCCUGGGUGGCUCCGUUGGUUAAGCGCCCAACUCUCGGUUUCCACUCGGGUCAUGAUCUCGAGGUUCAUGAGUUCAAGCACCAUGUCGGGCUCCCUGCUGACAGUGCAGAGCCUGCUUGGGAUUCUCUCUCUCUCUCCUCUCUCUCUCUCCCCCCCCCCCCCCCACCUUUCCCCUGCUUGCUUUCUCUCUCUCUCUCUCUCUCUCAAAAUAAAUAAAUAAACUUAAAAAAAAAGUCCA